UUUUCAACAAAGGGAAUACCAACUGAUACAAUGCUGGUACUAACAGUGUUUCAAAAGGAAAAAAGGUCAUGUGGAGAGAAAUCACACGGUAUUUCCCUAACCCUGAGAUGCCCUCACUCAGAUAACAAAGGGAAGAAAGAGAAGAGUAACCUUUGUUAAAACCCUACUCUGUGUCAGACACUAUGUUAUCUGCUUUCCAGGUCUGUUUAUGAAGUUCGUCAUCAUGGAUCACCACAAUCCUCUGCCUGUGCUUCUGGAUGCUGCAGUUGAAAACUGUCCCAUGCACUGAUUACCUGAGUGUCAAGGGUAUUCCAUGGUGACAAACACAAUGCUGGUGUCUUGAUAGAAAACCAGAGAAUGAAACCAGGCAUGGGCAAGAUCCUCCAAGUACGCAGGCAGCAAGUGGCAGCAUUCAAGUCCGGGUGUAUCACCUGAAUGAAUAUGUUGUGUUAUGGGGAGAAGUGUGUAUAAUGUCUGGAUGAACACACAUAGAUUUUGGCAACAAUAUAUUUUAAAAUAGAGCAACAUAUCAUAGAGUUGGGGCGAGUGGAAGGCAAGAGAGGUGACGAGGACACAAAUUCAAGAAGGCAUUCAUUGCCUGCUGACCCUGCACUUGCAUGAUCUCGAGAGUGAAUGCCUCCUUUUAAAGUUUGCGCCCUAGGUGCCUCUCUUGCUUUAUCUUCAUUCUGGCCUUGUUUGUAUUUUCAUUUUCUAUCAACUCUUCAUCCUCGGGUUUGGAAUAAUUCCCUUCUGUUUAACAAACUAGUGUGGAGCAGGGGUGAGAGUGAGAAGGGGGAUUGUGACCAGAGAGAUUGAGGAUAGAAAAUGAAGAGCACUUGGUGACUGAUGGCUGACAAGAUGACAUCCUGAGGAUAGUGGAACCCUGAAGACCACUGUUAGAAGGUCGGUGUUGGGUUGUUUGCUCUUGGGGUGCUGUGCAGACAUAUGAAUAGGCCUGAUGGAAAUUUUACUUUUUUUCUGCAGACAGCCCUCUGGGGGCAGGGGAGGGGGGUGGAGGGGUUCCACUUUUUCCACAGGGAUGGCCCCAGUGUCUAUGACAACCACAGAGGUUAUUCUAGCUCCAGAGACUCUGAUAGAGCUUUGGGGAAAGGUAUGAACUGAAAACUUACCUGGACAAAGAGGAAAGAAACCAAUGAUCCUUACCACCUACCCCUUUCUGUAGUUCCCACCGCUUAUAAUAAAAAUAUUUUAUCAUUGGCUAGACAGCAAGAUAGUCUUAAGUAUACAGCAGCUGAAAGAUCUUUUUCCUCGCAAGUUAUGGUUUCUAAUGUCUCCCUGAUGAAGCUGGAGAUGAAAUAUCUAUCUUCAGGAGGUGGCCCUUCUACCAAGAAUUCUCUGUGCUCUUUAAGUUAGCAUUAGUGGAAAGAGAACAGAGCGAAAGGUUAGGUUUAUUUUAAAAAGCAACAGGGAGGCAGUGAAAGACGGGAAUAAGCUGAGAAAUAAAAGCAAAGAAAAUGACUGAAAAAUACCAGUUUGUGGAGGUGGCUACCAACGCCUGGCUUCCUGAAUGCUGGUGAGCUUGUGGGGUGGCCACGUUUUCAUUUUCUGAUAUGAAGCAUUUACAAAAGCCUGUGGUUCUGGUAUGUGCUCCAAUCUUCUCAGCAGGCAGCCUGGGAACAGGCGCCCGCCCGUGGCUCUCCCCUUCUGCCCAGGAGGCCUCGCUCAUCAUUAAGCAGAGCUGUGGAGCAGCUUUGCAAACCCUUGUCAAGUCAGACUGUGCAAUGUUCCCUCUAUUGCUACCGAGCCUCCGGUGCAGAGCUGCUUCCCAGAAAAGGCUGGAAGCCAAUCAGAAGCAUCUAUCUUCAGACAUUCUUAGCUUCUUAUAUGAAAUGAGCCCACUCCUCAGAUCCCCUUCUCUUCUGUGACAAACAAGCCAUUUGAAACCUCCCGGAUAUUUUCUAAGGGAAGCUGCUGUGAACCACCUUCUGGUUAGCUGCCUAAUUUCUCUGCAAUCAAUCUGCAGUCAACCUUUGUCAUAUCAUCUGCUGGGGCAGCGGUUUUCUUUCUUUUAUGUUUUUUUUUUUUAUAUUUGUAUAUAGUUUGGACCCGUAUAAUAAGCCUGAUAGGUAGAGAUACUGCUCAGUCUAGACCAUUUCUUAAAUGACAGGUUAAACUCUUGUGCUUUUCAAUUUCCUCAAAACUCCACUAGGGGCAAAGAAAUGGGACCCUAGGCUAGAUGGAAGGGAUCCCCAAGGUCACCUGGUUCAUUUCCCACAAACUGCUAAGCAUUCCGCUUUUCAACCCAGGGCUCAUUCUCAUUUCUCAGAGGUCUACACCAGAGUCUGCCAGUAUUUAGCUUGGGAUAUAAUGUAGUGAUUUCAAACUUAAACUGGGACACAGUGUAGACAGAGGAUGCCCGGAAGGUGUUAGGGACUGGGCAGAUUGCCUGAGAGAAUUCGUAAUAGGUGAUCUUUUUCUUUAGGCUGGAAGGUUAAUCUGGGAGGAGCCCCAUUCAGAUUAUUAUAUUCUAUUACCAAAAUGUAGACUAUAAAAUUGGAGAAAAAGCAAAGCCAUACUGUUCUAUUUAUUUAUUUAUUUAUUUAUUUAUUUAUUUAUUUAUUUAUUUAUUUAUGAUAGGCACACAGUGAGAGAGAGAGAGGCAGAGACACAGGCAG
This is a long non-coding RNA of Canis lupus familiaris (dog), 2636 nucleotides long. RefSeq lists it as uncharacterized. The transcript is spliced from 3 exons. NCBI's taxonomy places the organism in Eukaryota, Metazoa, Chordata, Mammalia, Carnivora, Canidae. The record is from RefSeq and is a predicted model, not a curated record.